This 349-nucleotide long non-coding RNA is filed under the name Glycine max (soybean). RNAcentral describes it as "long non-coding RNA (GMAX_LNC002134)". The record is from RNAcentral. Lineage: Eukaryota; Viridiplantae; Streptophyta; Magnoliopsida; Fabales; Fabaceae.
GGGGGUGAGAUGAGAUGGGAAACACAAGAGAAAAGAGAGGUGGGUAACAGGGAAUAGGAAAGAGAGACAAGAUGAAAGAUCGAUUAGAAGGGGACUUCUACUUUUCAAGAUUCCCAGUAGCAGUGGCCUGAGGUUAACGGCAGCGGGCAGUAGGAGGAUGAAGAUGAUCGAGUCUCUGAAAGUUUGCUACGAAGAAAUGAAAAACGGGUGGAUAAAGGAGAAGGUAAAGGGAUGUAUGGUCAAAAUCACUCAUGUGAAGAGGGAUCCAAAUCAGUGCUAAUUCCUGAGAAUGGGCCAGAAGAAGCAGUUAAAAAACAGGACUUGGGAUAUGUUGGGGACAACAAUAAUU